Molecule: long non-coding RNA, 1801 nt
Organism: Passer domesticus (house sparrow)
Lineage: Eukaryota; Metazoa; Chordata; Aves; Passeriformes; Passeridae
Exons: 4
Source: RefSeq, a predicted model, not a curated record
GAGGCAAUUGGUCAAUGGCAGGGUCCCUCGUGUGCCACAGAACUCUGGGGACCAUCAGAGCAGCAGCUCCACCAUGCAGAACAUCCAGGCUUCUCCACAGAAAAGUAGUCAGCCACAGGCCUCCUUGACAGUCCAGAACAAGCCCAGUGUGACCCUGCUGCAGCCCAGUGAGGGACACAUCCCGAGGGGCCAUGAUGUUCAGCUUCCUGUAGUGACCAGGACACAGGAUGCGUCAGGCCCUGCCGCCUCACAAGAGCCCCGGCCGCGCACAGCUCCCCGACUGUUCCCAUGGGCACGAGGGCUCAUCCAGCCUCUCCAGCCACGCCGGACAUCAACAGCCCCCAGCCAGCUGGAAAGGACCCAUCGCCCAGUGCUCGACCUGGGACAUCUCGUGAGAAGCACGAAACGCGUGUGACGACAGUCAUCAGAACGAUGACUUUUUAGUUUUAUUAGGACAAAAAGGAGGCCACUGAUGACCCCCAAGUCGAAUGCUGAAGUAUCAAGUUGUCUUGUUGGAGCAGGAUGAUGGGGAACUGCAAACUCCUUUGCCUUGCACCCAGCCACGUUCCUGGAAUCUGUACCAGAAAGUCAAGAAGCCUCACAACAUGCCUGUGUUCCAACGACUGAGCAGCUUCACUCCAGCAGAGGAGAUCCUCUGGUAGAAGAUCCGGCCUCGCAAUUGUCCACAGGUGGGAGCAGCUUUGUGAGCAAAGGAAAGCAGAAGUUUGGCUGUGCAGUAGGGCCCAAUCCAAGCCGUCCCAUUACCUCUUACCACCUCUGCACACAGGGCUGAGCUGCUCAGUCUAUGGCAGCCUGGAAUUGUCUCAGGGGAAGAAUGGGAACACAUGGGCUAAUGCUAACCGUGCCUUUGGAGCAGUACCUGCCCACGGAGCUCUCUGGAACAAAGGAGGGCUCCUUUCAGCACAAGGAUCCUCUGUCAAAGGUGGAGACAUUACCAGACAAUUACUAGAAAGUGUUCAGGUACCAGCCCAUGUGGCUCUCAUGCAUUGUAAAACUCAUCCAUUAGGAAAUACAUCAGUUAGUGUAGGAAACCGACUGGCAGAUAAAGCUGCUAAAGGGCUGGCAGAGAAAAGCAUCCUAAUAGUUGCUGCAGCAAAAUGUAUGACCUUUCAGAGGUAACCCCAGAAUAACAAGCCCAAGAUAAAACGCUGGCAAAAUUGAAUGGCCCUGGAUCUAAAAUAGUAUAAGUUUUGCCAAAAAGUUUUACUAAGUAUUUUAAUAGGAAUUAUUGCAUUUUAGUGUCUUAAGUCUUUCUAAAUAUCCAAUGAUUUAAGUGGAAGUAAUCCUAAAAGAAAUAAGGUCACUUAUAAAGGGGGGAUGUGUUGGAAAUGAUAUAACUUUCUAAUUUGAGAUUCCUAUUAUUUGUUUUCAUUAAGUCUGUUAAUAAUGGCUUCACUUAAUCAUUAGCAGUGCAGUUUUCCACUGGAGCAUGUAGCAAGACUUUAUACAAACUGCUAUUAAUGGAACACCAUUUGGGAAAAUCACUGAACUUUUAAGUUUUGCUAGAUAACCUUGACAUGAUUCAGUGAACAAAGAUUGGGGUAGAGAAAUGGGGCUGAGAACUGGACACCAGGAAUGCAGAAUUUGUAGAGUGUGAGGACAAGGUGUGGAAACCAGAGGUAAAGAAGAAAUGAACAAGGAGAAUUCUGCUCUUAGUGUCGUGAAAACAAUAUCUGGAAAAACACUACACAUAAUAAAAAGACUGAAAAGUGGACCAAUUAACAUUGUUAUCACAACCAGAAAGAAAUAAAUGCUUUAAUUUUCAUAUUAGGGAUUUUUU